GACAGAGGGGGCAAGCGUUGCUCGGAAUCACUGGGCGUAAAGGGCGCGUAGGCGGGAUGGCAAGUCAGUCGUGAAAUCUCUCGGCUCAACCGAGAAACGUCGGCUGAUACUGCCGUUCUUGAGGGAUGCAGAGGAGACUGGAAUUCCCGGUGUAGCGGUGAAAUGUGUAGAGAUCGGGAGGAAUACCGGUGGCGAAAGCGACUCUCUGGACGGCAACUGACGCUGAGGCACGAAAGCGUGGGGAGCAGACAGG
Molecule: ribosomal RNA, 253 nt
Filed under: uncultured bacterium
Lineage: Bacteria
Description: partial 16S ribosomal RNA
Rfam family: Bacterial small subunit ribosomal RNA
Source: RNAcentral